RNAcentral lists this ribosomal RNA (141 nucleotides) under uncultured eukaryote. RNAcentral's name for it is "partial 18S ribosomal RNA". It matches the Rfam family "Eukaryotic small subunit ribosomal RNA", at positions 1299 to 1458 of the family's 1831-position model. The record is from RNAcentral.
UGGUGGUGUGAAUUGUCUGGUUAAUUCCGUUAACGAACGAGACCUCGACCUACUAAAUAGUGCAAUUAAUUCUUCGGAAUUGAUCCGCGCUUCUUAGAGGGACUAUCGGUGCUUAGCCGAAGGAAGUUCGAGGCAAUAACA